GGGUGGAAUGUGCUAGUAAAUUGGCUUCAGAAGCUGCACAGGGCCAUUGGACUAUUAGAACUUCAGGACUCUGAGGGUCAAAGAAAAUAGAGAAGGCUUGGGUGUCUAAGAAGCACAGAAAGUAGGGAUCAAGCUGGCUGGGUUGGAGACAAUCAAUGGUGACCUUGAAGACUGCUGAGCUGCUGAGAACAUGAGUCCCUGAAUUAUUGUGUGGAUGAAAGUUGCCCCGCCAACACAUUCCCCUGUCCGGAUCAGCGUCCUCCUGUUCUAUGUCCUUUGGAUUUGCACAAGCACAGAGUGUAUGAUGUUUGCGGCAACAAGGCAGGGACAAUUUAAUGGCAUUUCCACCAGAUUGUGUGAAGACACUCCAACUGCUCUUGGCUCCUUCCCAGUUGCAUUGGCCUCCUUGCCCUCCCACAGGUGGGCUUUCAUACCCAGGGCAGAGCUGGAACACGGCCAUGACUGCUGCAGAAGAGGUCUUUCCUGGACAGACUGGUCAGACGGCACUGGAGCAUUUGUAAUGGGAGGGUUGUUUGUCUUUCCUUCAUCUUUAAGAAGGUCAGAAAAGACCCAGCUCGCUAUGUCCGGGUAAAGAGAAAUGCAAAGAUGAAACUUACCUUACAUCUCUAUACUCCUCCCUUCCCAAUGUUCACCUCGGUAUAUAAAUGGAGUCCCUAACUUUCACUCCUUAAUCCCAACACCAGGUGAUGUUCUUCCGUCUCUAGGGAACCUUUCCUUUCCUUACUUUUCUCAGAUUUACUUCCACAAAAAUCAUCCUCUCAUUCUAUAAAUGGUGCCUUUUUCUUCAUUGUUAUUAUUGCCCUUAUUCUUCAUCUCUAUCUUUGAGAAUAUUCUUUUUUCUCUCUAUAAAAAUAACAACAAAUAUCCUGA
Molecule: long non-coding RNA, 891 nt
Organism: Diceros bicornis minor
Lineage: Eukaryota; Metazoa; Chordata; Mammalia; Perissodactyla; Rhinocerotidae
Exons: 3
Source: RefSeq, a predicted model, not a curated record